GGUGAACGCUGGCGGCGUGCCUAACACAUGCAAGUCGAGCGGUGCAGUUUGAAGCUUCGGUGGAAAGCUGCAUAGCGGCGGACGGGUGAGGAAAACGUAGGAACGUGCCCCUUGGAGUUGGAUAGCCACGGGAAACUGUGGGUAAACCGACAUAGACUCGAGAGAGUAAAGGCCGAAAGGCGCCAAGGGAGCGGCCUGCGGCCCAUCAGGUAGUUGGUAGUGUAAAGGACUACCAAGCCGACGACGGGUAGCCGGUCUGAGAGGAUGGCCGGCCACAAGGGCACUGAGAGACGGGCCCUACUCCUACGGGAGGGCAGCAGUGGGGGAUUUUGGACAAUGGGCGAAAGCCUGAUCCAGCGACGCCGCGUGGAGGACGAAGCCCUUCGGGGUGUAAACUCCUUUUCUCAGGGAAAAAGGAUGAUGGUACCUGAGGAAUAAGCCCCGGCUAACUACGUG
Molecule: ribosomal RNA, 456 nt
Filed under: uncultured bacterium
Lineage: Bacteria
Description: bacterial SSU rRNA
Rfam family: Bacterial small subunit ribosomal RNA
Source: RNAcentral